CCUACGGGAGGCAGCAGUGGGGGAUAUUGCACAAUGGCGGGAACGCUGAUGCAGCGACGCCGCGUGAGCGAAGAAGUACCUCUGUAUGUAAAGCCCUAUCUGCAGGGAAGAAAAUGACGGUACCAGACUAAGAAGCCCCGGGUCAAUACGUGCCAGCAACCGCGGUAAAACGUAGGGGGCAAGCGUUAUCCGGAUUUACUGGGUGUAAAGGGAGCUCAGGGGGCCUUGCAAGUCUGGUGUGAAAACCCGGGGGCCAACCCCGGGCGUGCAGUGGAAACUGGCGGGCUGGAGUGUGGGAGGGGCAGGCGGAAUGCCUAGUGUAGCGGUGAAAUGCGUAGAUAUUAGGAGGAACACCGAUGGCGAAGGCGGCCUGCUGGACGAUGACUGACGCUGAGGCUCGAAAGCGUGGGGAGCGAACAGGAUUAGAUACCCUGGUAGUC
Molecule: ribosomal RNA, 440 nt
Filed under: uncultured bacterium
Lineage: Bacteria
Description: partial 16S ribosomal RNA
Rfam family: Bacterial small subunit ribosomal RNA
Source: RNAcentral